CAAACUCAAGUUCUGUAACGGUAUUGAGUGACUCAUAGUGGAAAUUGUAACGGAAAUGUAUAUAAAUACUCACGCUUGGUGAAUGGUUAUCAAAGCUUUCCAGUAAAUCGAAAAACAGGUUUAGCUAUGAAACUUUAUCUGCUAACAAUUAUUGCCGUGUUGGUCCUUUUGGUCCUUCCACCGCCCGCAAAUGCGCAAGGAGAAGGGGAGAGUACCAGCGAGGAACCACCACCGUCAAAUUCUACAAUUCCUCCAGGUCCUCCAGGCCCUCCAGGUCCUCCAGGCCCUCCAGGUCCUCCAGGCCCUCCAAGUCCUCCAGGCCCUCCAAGUCCUCCAAGAGCUCCAGGCCCUCGACCAGCCGCUUAAUUCUUAUGUCCAACAGCUAGACCAUCCAGAUUUGUUGAAAACGAAAAUGAAGCACAAAUACCAAUAUCCCGCAGCUCCUUGUUCCCACUUUCUUCUGUUGACUCUGAUGACGAUGUUAGCCCACGUGUGCAGGAUGAAGAUGUCAAGGCGCCACUUGUAAGAGAGCCACGUGGUGCUUCCAUUGAUUCAUAAGUUAACUGGUAACCAAAUUCACCUUUAUUUAAUAGUUUAUUGUAAUUGGUUUAUUUUUUUUUUCUUUUGUAAAAUUAUUAUAAAUAUUAUUGUUAAUCAGAAAGAGCAAAUACAAUAAAAAUAAUAAACGUAAAAUAUUUAUGUAUCAAUA
Molecule: long non-coding RNA, 709 nt
Organism: Bactrocera neohumeralis
Lineage: Eukaryota; Metazoa; Arthropoda; Insecta; Diptera; Tephritidae
Exons: 5
Source: RefSeq, a predicted model, not a curated record